RNAcentral lists this ribosomal RNA (775 nucleotides) under uncultured Neocallimastigales. RNAcentral's name for it is "partial large subunit ribosomal RNA". It matches the Rfam family "Eukaryotic large subunit ribosomal RNA", at positions 22 to 605 of the family's 3401-position model. The record is from RNAcentral. Lineage: Eukaryota; Fungi; Neocallimastigomycota; Neocallimastigomycetes; Neocallimastigales.
GUACACGCUGUGACUAGCAUAUCAAUAAGCGGAGGAAAAGAAACUAACAAGGAUUCCCCUAGUAACGGCGAGUGAAGCGGGAAGAGCUCAAAUUUGAAAUCUUAAAGGGUUUCCCUUUACGAAUUGUAGUUUAAAGAAGUGUUUUCUGUUGAGGUUUUGGUAAAAGUUCUUUGGAAUAGGACAUCAUAGAGGGUGAGAAUCCCGUAUUUGACCUUUACUUUCAACUUUGUGAUACACUUUCAAAGAGUCGGAUUGUUUGGGAAUGCAGUCCAAAAUGGGUGGUAAAUUUCAUCUAAAGCUAAAUAUUGGCGAGAGACCGAUAGCGAACAAGUACCGUGAGGGAAAGAUGAAAAGAACUUUGAAAAGAGAGUUAAACAGUACGUGAAAUUGUCAAAAGGGAAGCGUUUGACACCAGUGUUGUUUUUCUGAAAAUCAAUUAAAGAACUGUUUAUGCUAAGUUGUUUAGACUUUAUCAGCUAACUGUUUAGUUUUGAGCUCUUCUUUAAUGCACUUUUCAGUUAACGAAGUCAACAUCAAUUUCUUUUGCUGUAAAAAAGCUUGAGGAAGGUGGCUUGAGAUUCGUCCUUAAGUGUUUAUAGCCUCUUGCCUAUGCAGUCGGAGAGAUUGAGGUCUGCAGCGUAGAUCCUUCGGGGCUAAAUGCAUUUGUGCUAAGUUAUAGCAUUUUAUAGACAACUUGUUGACUAUGAUUUGUCUUGUAGCUUACUCGCUUAUGUUAUUUUACCUACGCUUAGGAUGUUGAGUCGUAGAGCACGCA